GAGACUCCGUGGGCGUAGGACCCUCCGAGCCAGGUGCGGGAUAUAUUCUCGUGGUGCGCCGUUUUUUAAGCCCGUCGGAAAGGCGCAGUAUUUGGGUAGGAGUGACCCGAUUUUCCAGUGAGAUGAACCCGGUACCUCAGCUGGAAAUGCAGAAAUCACCCGUCUUCUGCGUCGCUCACGCUGGGAGCUGUAGACUGGAGCUGUAGACAGGAGCUGUUCCUAUUCGGGCAUCUUGGCUCCUCCUUGACAAGCUUGAAGGUGAGCACCUCGAAGGGCUUCUUUUUAUGUUGAAAGGCACGGGUUUGCAUGGCGGUUCAUCAGAGGUCAAUACCCCAGUUUGAGAAAGUCCACUGUGGGGAGGAAAGAGAGACUUAAACAAGCCCUGGAAAAACAAAGAAUGGAACACCCCUCCGCUGACUUCAACCAACUGCCUGCUGAUGCGGCCUGACUCCCAGCCCUUUUUGCAGUUUUGAAGUGACAAACUGACUAGGCUACAAAGUAUUCAACCAUGGGCUGGUUCUGGCUGGUUCACCGAGGCUGUGUACAAAGUGUCUUCAUGUCCUGUGUUUCACCUUUUAACAUACAGAACCUAAUUUUACUGCAUUUUAAUGUUAAUUCUCCACUCGAAGGUGAACAUGGGAUGUAUGUAACACAUAUGUUUGCUUAUCAAGCACACAUAUGACCCCCUUUCAUGAAUAUUCAUAGUUCCCCCUGUGACCUGUUGAAUAUGUCUGUUUAGCCAACCUGUUUGGCAUAAAACUCCUAUCCCACCCUAUCUCCCUCAAAGUACCUGUUUGUGGUCUCAGCUGGAGGUGCCACUUCCCAGCCUGCAGUUUGCAACCCUUCUCAAGAAAUAAAGUCUUCCUUUCCAA
Molecule: long non-coding RNA, 872 nt
Filed under: Homo sapiens (human)
Lineage: Eukaryota; Metazoa; Chordata; Mammalia; Primates; Hominidae
Description: long intergenic non-protein coding RNA 1801
Source: RNAcentral